RNAcentral lists this ribosomal RNA (406 nucleotides) under uncultured bacterium. RNAcentral describes it as "partial 16S ribosomal RNA". It matches the Rfam family "Bacterial small subunit ribosomal RNA", at positions 30 to 526 of the family's 1533-position model. The record is from RNAcentral.
AUUGAACGCUGGCGGCAGGCCUAACACAUGCAAGUCGACCGAGUGGCGGACGGGUGAGUAAUGUAUGGGGAACUGCCCGAUAGAGGGGGAUAACUACUGGAAACGGUGGCUAAUCCCGCAUACUAUCGGAUGCUCCCAAAUGGGAUUAGCUAGUAGGUGGGGUAAAGGCUCACCUAGGUGACGAUCACUAGCUGGUCUGAGAGGAUGAUCAGCCACGCUGGUACUGAGACACGGCCCAGACUCCUACGGGAGGCAGCAGUGGGGAAUCUUGCACAAUGGGCGCAAGCCUGAUGCAGCCAUGCCGCUUGUAGGAAGAAGGCCUUAGGGUUGUAAAGUACUUUCAGCAGGGAGGCUUUACCCGCAGAAGAAGCACCGGAUAACUCCGGGCCAGCAGCCGCGGUAAUUC